AAACAAUGUCAUGUAUAGUUGUAUGUUUCACCUUUUAAUCUUACCAUUCUCCUUUUGACUAUCUCCACCCUCCUCUUUGUCUCUGUCCCCCUUCUCCUCUGUCCUCUCUCCUUUGUCUCCUUUCGUCUCUUUCACCCUUACUUCAUCUUUUUCUGCUAUAAAUAUAAUUAUUUUUUGCUUUUAAUGUACAACACAAACAUACAUGUACCAACAACUUACCAAGUUCAUUUACCAAAAACAAAAGGCAUUAUAGUUAUCACUAUAGGGUUACACAUUCCCAACUUACCAUCAGAUGGAUGGACCUCAAUGAGGACAUCCUCUAUUGGGGCAGCCAUUACUUUUUGAUUUUGAACUUACAGUUUCAGGUGUCUUAUUUUAUAUCCUAAAGGUCACAGGUGACACUUGGUGUUCUUUGAUUGGCUGUAAAUGACGCAAUAACUUCUAUUUCGGUAUUCUCCUCCCACACAUUUUUAUCAUCAGUCCUCUCACCUGUACAGAUAAACACAAAUCACCUGCAUGAUAACUUCGUGACUAACUUUCUCUCGGGCCUUCUCUUUUGAGUUAGUGGUUCUAGAGAUUGCCUUGGAGAAUGUGGUACUUCAAUCUCCAUUGCGAGGUCUGGUGGAUCAUCUACACCUGGAGUUGAUUGUCGAGAUGAUCCUGUUAGUCGAGGUGCAUCAGGAAGUGGGCAGGUUACAUCUUUACAUUCGUAUCUGCAAAAAGGUCUUAUCUUUUCGUAAAGGUACCAUUUCCUUUCAGUUGACAUACCCUUUGGUGGUAAUAUUUUAGGUAGUUCAUCUUCCAUUAUUUGAGCGUCCUCCUUCAGCAAAUUGAAUUGUGUGACUGGGCCAUCUACAGCUUGUCUGGCUGCAACUACACCAGCAAAGUAACUACACG
Amphimedon queenslandica is the source of this 897-nucleotide long non-coding RNA. RefSeq lists it as uncharacterized. The transcript has 3 exons. The record is from RefSeq and is a predicted model, not a curated record. NCBI's taxonomy places the organism in Eukaryota, Metazoa, Porifera, Demospongiae, Haplosclerida, Niphatidae.